AGAAGCUUGCUUCUCUUGAGAGCGGCGGACGGGUGAGUAAUGCCUAGGAAUCUGCCUGGUAGUGGGGGAUAACGUUCGGAAACGGACGCUAAUACCGCAUACGUCCUACGGGAGAAAGCAGGGGACCUUCGGGCCUUGCGCUAUCAGAUUAGCCUAUGUCGGAUUAGCUAGUUGGUGAGGUAAUGGCUCACCAAGGCGACCAUCCGUAACUGGUCUGAGAUGAUGAUCAGUCACA
This 235-nucleotide ribosomal RNA is filed under the name Pseudomonas chlororaphis. Its description in RNAcentral is "partial 16S ribosomal RNA". It matches the Rfam family "Bacterial small subunit ribosomal RNA", at positions 74 to 312 of the family's 1533-position model. The record is from RNAcentral. Lineage: Bacteria; Pseudomonadati; Pseudomonadota; Gammaproteobacteria; Pseudomonadales; Pseudomonadaceae.